This 776-nucleotide ribosomal RNA is filed under the name uncultured Neocallimastigales. Its description in RNAcentral is "partial large subunit ribosomal RNA". It matches the Rfam family "Eukaryotic large subunit ribosomal RNA", at positions 23 to 634 of the family's 3401-position model. The record is from RNAcentral. Lineage: Eukaryota; Fungi; Neocallimastigomycota; Neocallimastigomycetes; Neocallimastigales.
AGAGAGAGACAUGCGCGCAUAUCAAUAAGCGGAGGAAAAGAAACUAACAAGGAUUCCCUUAGUAACGGCGAGUGAAGCGGGAAGAGCUCAAAUUUGAAAUCUUCAAGGUUUUACCUUGACGAAUUGUAGUUUAAAGAAGUGUUUUCUGCUGAAGUUUUGGUAAAAGUUCUUUGGAAUAGGACAUCAUAGAGGGUGAGAAUCCCGUAUUUGACCAUUAUUUUCAGCUUUGUGAUACACUUUCAAAGAGUCGGAUUGUUUGGGAAUGCAGUCCAAAAUGGGUGGUAAAUUUCAUCUAAGGCUAAAUAUUGGCGAGAGACCGAUAGCGAACAAGUACCGUGAGGGAAAGAUGAAAAGGAACUUUGAAAAGAGAGUUAAACAGUACGUGAAAUUGUCAAAAGGGAAGCGUUUGACACCAGUGUUGUUUUCUCGAAAAUCAAUUAAAAAUGGCUCGAUUUUGUAUUGCUGAGACCUUAAAAGCUCACUGUACAUUUUUCGUGUCUUUUUUAAUGCACUUUUCGUUUAACAAGUCAACAUCAGUUUCUUUUGUUGUAAAAGGGUCAUUGGAAGGUGGCUUUCUUUUCGGAGAAAGUGUUUAUAGCCUUUGGCCUCUGCAAUCGGAGAGACUGAGGUCUGCAGCGUAGACUCUUCGGGGUUAGAUACAUUUGUGCUAAGUUAUAGCUUUUUAUAGACAACUUGUUGACUAUAAUCAGUCAUUGUAGCUUACUCGCUUAUGCUAUUUUACCUACGCUUAGGAUGUUGAGUCGUAGAGCACGCAG